GUCCCCUUCGUCUAGAGGCCUAGGGGAGGACACCGCCCUUUCACGGCGGUAACAGGGGUUCGAAUCCCCUAGGGGGACGCCA
This 82-nucleotide transfer RNA is filed under the name Aeromonas sp. CA23. RNAcentral describes it as "tRNA-Glu". The stretch from base 3 to 75 matches the Rfam family "tRNA". Rfam says of the family: Transfer RNA (tRNA) molecules are approximately 80 nucleotides in length. Their secondary structure includes four short double-helical elements and three loops (D, anti-codon, and T loops). Lineage: Bacteria; Pseudomonadati; Pseudomonadota; Gammaproteobacteria; Aeromonadales; Aeromonadaceae. The record is from RNAcentral.